CGUGACGUGAUUUGCGAUUGUUUUCUAAACGGUCUUCCAUUGUUGUGAAUGUAGAGCAUCGAAGCGCGAGACGUACUGUAGUUAUAGGCGCGAAAAUAAAACGAGAAUCGAAUAGAACGCGUUAUGUAUAUUAGAAAGCUCAGUUAAAUCGAUGCGUAGCACUUUAUUAGCUGUAACUCCGCGGAUUCGUGAUACGUUAGUUCUCCACAAAUUCGUUGACAGUGCGAUACAGUUUACAUAUGGCUCAUUUGAAAGAAAUAGUAGGACCAAUAUAUGUAACUUUUUUGUUAUUUGUUUUCUAACGAGGGCAGUUCAAUUGCAAGGUCGUUUUGAGAGAGAGAGAGAGAGAGAGAGAGAGAAAAAGACUUGCCCCAGCUUAUUAAAAAAUGGCACUGUUAUUAUUAUUACCAUUUAAAAAGCUAGUUGUGUCUUGUGUAACGUUACAUUUGGAAAUUUGAGACAUAUCGAGCUGUAUUAUCAACGAUAGGUAGAUUAGAAGAGCAAACCAGCUUUUUGUUUUUAAUUUAGGAUCUCACUGCGUUUUCAGGUUGUCAUCAUAUCAGUGGCUCUGCAAUAACAUUGAAAGGUUAUGAUCUUAAGAGUACUUGAUAACUUCACUCGAACUAGAGCACUUCAGGGAUAGACUUACACUGAGAAGCAUCAUUAAGCUUCAUUUUCAACAGAUGCGUAGGGAAUGAAUGAAAAAAGGUUUGAUUUCAACAAUGUGCGCUCAAAUCUGGACACUUGGGAGUUAUUUUUUAUACACUAGUGUUAUCUAGCGGGAAAAGGCACUAACUGCAGUCUUUAUGAUAUCAAAUGUGUUUCCAUAGCAACUUUCCAGACGGUUCUGGAGACAUGGGGUAUUAUUGCUCCCUUAAUUUAUUCACAGGAAAGAUGGCUUUUGGUGCUUUUAUUUUAAAACAAGGUACAUUAAUGAAUUCAGUUAAGUAGAAGAAGAAGAAAAAGAGAAAAAAACUCUCAGGUAGGCAGGUUUACAUUCUUAUUAGGCCUGGUUAAACUAAAAGAGCCCACAGAGGCUUAUCCAACAUAUCAAAUGUGAAUACAAAGUGUCAGUAUAACACCAUAUAGCCCACAUCCGUGAAAAUGGAGAAACGUCUAUAUUUCUGCACUGCAACAGCAUCAAAGGGGAUCAUGAAUUCAGCACAAACAGGGAUUCAUCAUGACGUCACUGUGAGGAAGGAAAAACUCAUCCGUCUCUUGACUGGACUUGGAGAAUCAACUCAUGCAGGAUCAGUAAUGGACCGAAAACGGAAAUGACUGCAAGUUUUUAAAACUCCCUGCUCCUUUUUUUUCUCAGAUUUUCACAUUAACAAGAAGAGUUCAGACAGGAAGAGUUACCGUCAUGAAAAUGGACUUCCUGUCCUACAGAUCUGCACAUACAUGCAGCACAGUAUCGUCAAGGACAAUGUGAAUCUUCACCUGACCAGCACUGCGUGGGACAAAACAAACUUCAUGUUUGCAUUUAAACAGCAUUCAUUUGUUCCUAUCAAAGAAAUGAUGUACAGUGCCUCAAAAGGAAUAUAACUGUCAAAUGUGGAAUCGAACCAUGAGGAGAUAAGGACAAUGUGGUAAAUACAAAGAAGAUGCUUUGAUGCGCACUGAGGUAGAAACUAUUUACUUGAAAUCACAGAGUACAUGCACAAACAAAUUGUGAGAUACAUCCUGAUGUUUAUCUGCCCCCAAAACAACAACAUGCAGUGGGACAGGUGUUUGUGAGUAUGCACAUGUGAAUAUGUGUCUUCAGAACCAGCAGUAUGUCAUGUUUAAACAUUACAGAUCAUGUGCUAUACCAAAAAAUAUUAUGGCAUGCAUGGAAAGUUGGGCAUGGAAUAAAUCUUGAUUACUAUGUUAAUUUAUUAUUAUUAUUCUUUUUUUUGGUCAACAAAUCAGUAGUCAUAUUAAGUGGGAACAACUAUAAAAGACAACAAAUUAUUUGACUGUUGAGGUUAACCUUGUUAAAUAUCUAUUUUUAUUUUUUUGUUAAAGUAUCAUAGCUUUUAUAUUAAAAAGGAAUCAGUUAAACUGGUGAAAGGUUAUUUUUCUAGCUUCUUUAAAAAUUUUGCUAAAUCAUUUGACAUUUUUUCCACUGUUUAUUUUGCCUGCUGUGAAAAGGAAAUGUGACUACACAUGUAGAAAUUCUGUCAUGAUUUCCUCCUUGAAUUGUUUAUGUGGAACAAACACUGAAAAAAAAAAAGGUUUCUGCAGGUUUGUGCCUUUAUAGUUUCAGGAUCUCCCAUCAUUGAAAGCAUCUACCUCAUUGUCCCGAUUGGCUGUUUUACCGCGCAUUUACCUCACUGUGUUGCGUUACAUCAAACAGUUCAAAAGCCUUAUUUCUGGAAUCAGCUCAAGCUUACAGUAUGUCACAUUUCCCCACAUUACUGUCGGCAGUGUUGGCUGUGUGUUGUCCUGGUUUUGUCCAUCCUGAUUUUGUGCAACCAUUCAACCUAAAAAGUCAAGAAGAAAUACAAUAAUGUAAAGGUGGCAAGUAAAAACUCAUCCCAACAUGCCCCACAAACUGAUUUAAAGUGACUGAAGUAUUUUCCCUGUUUCCCUGAGGUAUGUAGGCCUAUGAUGUUGAAAUCUAGACAUUUUAUUAGCUAGAAUAUGGGAAGUUGCAAUGUGAUAGAGUUUAUAUGCGAAUGAUGAUACUUGAGAAAUGAUUGUCUGGCAGUAGAUUUUUCUAGCUGAAAUGUGCAUAAACACAUUUUCCCUA
Molecule: long non-coding RNA, 2734 nt
Organism: Carassius carassius (crucian carp)
Lineage: Eukaryota; Metazoa; Chordata; Actinopteri; Cypriniformes; Cyprinidae
Exons: 2
Source: RefSeq, a predicted model, not a curated record